RNAcentral lists this unclassified non-coding RNA (1435 nucleotides) under Bombus terrestris (buff-tailed bumblebee). Its description in RNAcentral is "misc RNA ENSBTSG00005027559.1". Lineage: Eukaryota; Metazoa; Arthropoda; Insecta; Hymenoptera; Apidae. The record is from RNAcentral.
CUUUUGAAAAUGUUUGGAAAUAUCCCUAACGUUUUUUCAACUGGCGACUUUGUUUACAAUUUAAAUUAUCUUAAUAUCGUUAUAGAAACAUAAUUAGGUAAAUAUAAAUACAUAGUUAGAUAAGUUUUCGCAAGAUAUAGCUUUUAGCGGCUUUAACUGCUUUUCACUUCAAAUACUGUAAACACGGUUUCAAAUAAACGUUUUAAAUUACCUUGAUUUGAAAGAAAUUAUCAAUUUUACUUUCGCGCUACGGAUCGUGCGGGUCGCGAAACGUGACAAUAAUUCAAUUAAAAAUGAGUAUCAUCAACGUAUUGGGCUUAGAUUGUUGCAAAUGAUUUUCAAUACUCCGUUGAAAAAAUUCAGCGGAAAAUUCGCAAUUAAGAAAUCGGAGCACUUUCGAGGGCAAAUGUCACAAGAAACCCUGAAACUGGCUUAAAGAUGCUCUAGAAAAAAACAGCCACGGAGCAGAGAGACGAUGAACCUUCUGGUAAAAGGACUAUGAUUCUCAGUACUUACCUCAGAACUGUCAGAAAACUACGAGUAUCGUGACAAAUUAUUAUUUGUAAAAUUUCAAAGUGUCGAGAGAUUCGAAUGCAGAGCUCGAAAAAAGGAAUUUUUAAAUUAAUGAGGAAGAAGAGUUUGAAAAUAAACUUCCAAAAUUGACAGAAUAUUUUUCAGUAAAUAUUUUUCAAUCGAUGAAGCAGAAACAGAAAGAUAUAGAAGCCGUAUAUCGCUGCUUGACAUUGAUAGUGGAGCAAUUCGCAAAAAGGUAAAUUUUAGAGGAGAAGCUUUUUAAAAUUUACGAAGAGAUUUCCAACGAAUCAUUUCAACAGCAUUAUAAGACUGACUAAACACAAGAUAUACCAUUAUUCGUGAAAGCAGUAUGACCUACCACUUAUGGUGUCGCAAACAACUGAAGAUAUGAAAAUAUUGUCGUAAAACUCAGGUCAGAGCGAUACGUAAUAAUUUUGUCCUGUGGCGAAAAACUGAUGGAAUUUUAAAUUUACCCUUUUAUAUGAUAGAAAGAAAAGCACAAUGUAGAUUUGCCAUUCAAUAAAAGCAAAUUCGAAAUCCUUUUAAGUUGUGCCACCAUCAAUGCCAAGCAGCGGUAUAAGAAAUCUAAAAAUCUUAAUACUUUCGAUGAAAAACUGCGUGCGUUUAGCGGUUCCGUUCUACCGAAUGGCGGAUAAGACAUUGUGAGUUGUGCUUCUAUAUCGCAAAUGAAAUACGGUAAAUGAUGCUUGCCCUAGCAGAAAUGUUUGUUGUAUCGCGUAUUGUAGUUACAUUUUCUCCUAGACCUUUUUCAAUAAACUGAGAAAUGUAAGAAGAAACGUUGCGUUUGAGAUGCCUUUUCGUUCUAAUCAUUAUUUAAACAUGUUUAAAUGUUCAUAAUGCAAUGACAAUACAUGUCAUUUUAUUCGGGAGAGUUCACAGA